AAAAAAGCUCAGAAAAUAUGCAUAUUCAAAAAGAAAAGGAAUUUUAAAAAAGCUAUGUGUAAGUCUACUACCCAAAGCUAAUUACUAUUAAUAUCAUGGUUUUAUGGCCUGGUGUGAUAAUGCACACUUGUAAUCUCAGCACUUGGGAGGCUGAUCCAGGAGGAUCACUGUGAGUCUGAGGCCAGCCUGGGCGAGAGAGAGAGAGAGAGAGAGAGAGAGAGAGAGAGAGACAGAGACAGAGAUAGAGAGAGAGACAGAGAGAGAAAGGGAGAGAGAGACAGAGAGAGAGAGAGAGGGAGUGAAAGAGGGAGAGAGAUUUGUUUUGGGGCAUGUAUAAUACUUGAUUAAAAGUAAUGACUAUGUUCUGUGAUGUGAAAUGCCCCUGAGGUUAUAUAUCUUUAAAAGUUAUCUCUUUUCUUUUUGUUUUUAGGGAUUGAACCCAAUAUCUUCACAAUGAGCUACAUUUCCAGCCUUCUAAAUUACUUUAAAAAAUUUUGACACAAGGUCUUGCUACAUUGCUAAAUUGCCCAGGCUAAGGGCCAGGGAUUUAGCUCAGUGGUUCUGCCACCUGCCUCGCAAGCACAAGGUCCUGAGUUCGAUCCCUGGGACCAAAAAAAAAAAAGAAAAAUUUCCCAGGCUAGAUUUGAACUUGUGAUCCUCUUGCUUCAGCCUCCUAGGGCACUGGGAUUCCAGACUCUUCAGUUUCUGGCUUCUGGUGUAAACUCUUCAGCCUUCCAUUGCAGACACAUCAGCCUCCUGAUAUGGACUCGAAAGGGACAUUGCAGUGAGCUCCAGACCUUCGAUACCAGGGAUAGAACUGAGGACCUUGUGCUUUCGAGGCAGGUGGCGGUACCACUGAGCUAAAUCACUGGCCAUUUUUUUUUUUUCCAUUGUUUAUUGGUACAUUUUAGGCUCUCGCUAUGUAGUUCAGGCUGGUCUUGAACUCGUGGCAAUCCUCCUGCCUCAGGCACUCCAGUGCUGGGAUUACAGGUCUACGCCACCAAGCCCGGCUAAACUUCUCUUUAUUGACAAAAGAGAUAGAGGAGGAAGCACAGACAUGUACAGAUGGGGAGAGAUCCUUAGAAGGGAAGACCUCCUUUGGUUAGCUUUGCGAUCUGGCUAGAAUUGGUUUGGCUGGCAGAACCUACACCGGGCGAAGGACGCAUGAAAUCCGAAGAGGAGGCAGUAGCUAACAAAAAUGAGUCUUUCCUAUAACUUUGGCACUUUUCUUGCUGCUGUGUUAUCACAUGAUUUAUUCAUACCCACCCAAUAAAAGGAAGAUGCCAAUAUCACUCCCAUUUUACAAGGAAUAACAUCAAUCGCGCCGAGGUCACCCAGCACAAAAGUGGCAGUGUUAGAACUCAAAAUUGCUUCACAGCACGCAGCGUUCAGUCAGGCGGUCGGAUUCUGUGCGCUGGUCGUCACCCGCCUUGCCACCUCCUUCGUGGGACAGUUCCCGGUACUGAGGGAUGGCGCUGUCCAGCCCGCGGACCCGCCGUCUGCCCCUGGCAAGAGAACGCGGCCCCGCGGGGCG
RNAcentral lists this long non-coding RNA (1534 nucleotides) under Heterocephalus glaber (naked mole-rat). RNAcentral describes it as "lncRNA (ENSHGLG00000034433.1)". Lineage: Eukaryota; Metazoa; Chordata; Mammalia; Rodentia; Bathyergidae. The record is from RNAcentral.